GGGCAACAACACCGGCAGAUGUCAAAAUCGAUAACUACAGGUGUCAGAAUGCAUUUGGGAGCAAAUUGCUUAUUGUCAUUACCCCUUUUCAUCUCCAUUGGAGUCGAUACCCCGCGGUAUCACUGCUUAGUGGGCGGCUGAACAUAACUGUGACACUUUCCAGACCACCUGGCAGGUCACAUGGUCCAGGUCACCGGCAGGUGCACAGGCAGAGUUGACCAACUGUCACAUUUUCAGAAAGCGCAAUGGUGAUUCAGUGCGAUUGGCUGAGGACAUUUUACUGCAUAACUUCGAAACAAAGCAACCAAUUACAACGCCAAUAUAAUCCUGCACAUCUAUGGACCAAGAGCUUUCAUUUGGUAUAUGAUGUGCCCUGCUCAGGCAACGGCUUCAUAUAAGUGAUCUAGUCCUGCUGGUUACAGUACUAUAAGUUGGCCUAGCUGCUUGUGAAGACAUGACUGAGCUAUGACACAGAACAGAGACGGGAAAAGGAUAGACACAGCAGGACAGAGCAGGGCACCACUGUGCAGUACCAGGCUCUGGUUUGAUGCAGGGAUGGAUGCAACAUCACUUUGUCUCCUAGCAAAAUCUGUGAGAGGACCAAACGAUGCUGCUCCAGCCUCCAGGUGCAGAGCAAGUAUUAAUCUUUUGAGACCCCUUCUCUUCUGAGAGCUGAACAUGGACAUCAGGAAACUGACCUGAUAUUACCAAGCCCAUCUCCUUUCAGGUCCUAUGGCAGCUGUACCCCUGCCGGGCAGUUCGUUUUGCCACUGUUUUGCUGUACAGUAAUAAAGCUGUGAUUCUAUAUCUAUUUGAACAACAA
Molecule: long non-coding RNA, 823 nt
Organism: Pseudophryne corroboree (corroboree frog)
Lineage: Eukaryota; Metazoa; Chordata; Amphibia; Anura; Myobatrachidae
Exons: 4
Source: RefSeq, a predicted model, not a curated record